AUCUUAACUUAAUUUAAUGGUUGAAUUGAGGGUUAUUGAGGUUUAAGUCAGUGAAGGUCUUAGAAAGUAGAAUUUAUAGUCCAGUGAGGAUUUUUUAGAUUUCUUGUAAUUUACUAUUUGGAUUAGAGUGAAAUUUAUGUGAGAAGAUAUUAGACUUAUUUUUCUAUGUGUAUGAGAAUUUUGAGAUCAAUCGAAUAGUGAAAAGAAGAGAUAUUGGCUCUGAGAGAUUGGCAUCAAGGUUGGAGGAGGAGGCUGGCCAAUACCCGAGCACAUUUUUGAGGUUACCGUCUAUUUGAUAAUUUCGAUCUUUUUCAAAAUUUUUGUGCUUGUUUUCAACUUAGUUUUUAAGAAGUUUGAAAAUUUUGAAUUAAGAUCAACUGUUCAUUCAUAAGUUAUUGAGGUUUAAUUUUGUUAUAGAAAUUACUAGGGUUUGGUUAAGAUUUGAUUUAAGGUUAGGAUUUGAUUAGGGUUUGAUUUAGGAUUAGAGUUUGGUUACGGUUUCAUUUAGGAUUUAGGAUUAAGAUUAGGAUUUAAUUAAGAUUUGAUUUAGGAUUAGGAUUUAAUUAGGAUUUGAUUUAGGAUUAGGAUUUGGUUAGGAUUUGGUUUAGGAUUUAGGAUUUGGUUAGGGUUUGAUUUAGGAUUAAGAUUUGAUUUAGGAUUUAGAGUUUGGUUUAAGGGUGGUUAGGAUUUGAUUUAGGAUUAGGAUUUGGUUAGGGUUUGAUUUAGGAUUAGGAUUUAGUUUAGAAUUUAGGAUUUGGUUAGGAUUUGAUUUAGGAUUAGAGUUUGAUUUAGGAUUUAGGAUUUUAUUUGAGAUUAUUUAGGAUUUAAAAAUUAGUUAGUUUUUUGCCUAAAUUUGGAAUGAAGUAAGAUUUCAACUUGGAUUAAAUUAAGAUUGAAUUGAGAUGUGUUUGAGAUAUGUUUGUAAUCAUUUUAAUAUUUCUUUAAGAUUUCUUAUUAUUUCUUUGGAAUUCCUUUGAAGUUUCUCUGAAUUUGAUUAAAGCUUGUUUAAUAUUAUUAGUAUUCUAUUAGAAUUAGAAUUUUGUUGUUGCAAUUUCUAUUCUACCUUCUACAGCCAGGUGCUCGAAGCAUUCUCAAGCAAGACUUCACAUAUUACAACAGUGUGAAUUUUAUAAAUUUAUUGUU
Molecule: long non-coding RNA, 1143 nt
Filed under: Physcomitrium patens
Lineage: Eukaryota; Viridiplantae; Streptophyta; Bryopsida; Funariales; Funariaceae
Description: long non-coding RNA (PPAT_LNC005919)
Source: RNAcentral